CAGCCGCCACGGGAACACGGAGGGUGCAAGCGUUAAUCGGAAUUACUGGGCGUAAAGCGCACGCAGGCGGUCUGUUAAGUCAGAUGUGAAAUCCCCGGGCUUAACCUGGGAACUGCACUUGAAACUGGCAGGCUUGAGUCUUGUAGAGGGGGGUAGAAUUCCAGGUGUAGCGGUGAAAUGCGUAGAGAUCUGGAGGAAUACCGGUGGCGAAGGCGGCCCCCUGGACAAAGACUGACGCCCAGGUGCGAAAGCGUGGGGAGCAAACAGGAUUAGAUACCCCUGUAGUCCCUGUCUCUUAUAC
Molecule: ribosomal RNA, 301 nt
Filed under: uncultured bacterium
Lineage: Bacteria
Description: partial 16S ribosomal RNA
Rfam family: Bacterial small subunit ribosomal RNA
Source: RNAcentral